This 579-nucleotide ribosomal RNA is filed under the name uncultured fungus. RNAcentral describes it as "eukaryotic LSU rRNA". The stretch from base 117 to 270 matches the Rfam family "5.8S ribosomal RNA". Lineage: Eukaryota; Fungi. The record is from RNAcentral.
CCACACACACACCUGUGCACGAAAGGGGGGUCGGUUCUAUCGCUUGAGCCGUCCUCCCAACCAUCACACAACCACACCUUUAACGAGUCCCGCAUGUCGAUUACGAAAACCUUUACAACUUUCGACAAUGGAUCUCUUGGCUCUCGCAUCGAUGAAGAACGCAGCGAAAUGCGAUAAGUAAUGUGAAUUGCAGAAUUCAGUGAAUCAUCGAAUCUUUGAACGCACCUUGCGCCCCUUGGCAUUCCGAGGGGCACGCCCGUUUGAGUGUCACGAACAUCAUCAACCAGGACCUCCCUUUACCAGGCGGUUCGGGCUUGGACUUGGACGUUGCCGGCGGUAACCGUCGGCUCGUCCCAAAUGCAUUAGCGAGGCUUCUGUUCCUUCUGGCCGCUGACCGUUCGGCGUGACGGGUCCUAUGGACGAAAUGCCGGAGUGAGCGUCUUGGCGGUGGGGGAAUAUGUAUGGAGUCGGGCUUCCAACGGGUCCCACAAGGGACAGCCGACCUGGUCGGUUUGCUCCUUCGAGAGCGUCGUAUGACCUCAGAUCGGGCGGGACUACCCGCUGAACUUAAGCAUAUCA